Molecule: non-coding RNA, 71 nt
Organism: Homo sapiens (human)
Lineage: Eukaryota; Metazoa; Chordata; Mammalia; Primates; Hominidae
Source: Rfam
AAGAGAGACUCAUACAGGUUAUGGGAUUGGCUUGAAACCAGUUUCUGGAGGUUCAAUUCCUUCCUUUGUCA